Molecule: ribosomal RNA, 465 nt
Filed under: Triticum aestivum (bread wheat)
Lineage: Eukaryota; Viridiplantae; Streptophyta; Magnoliopsida; Poales; Poaceae
Description: partial small subunit ribosomal RNA
Source: RNAcentral
AUGGAGGGCUCCAGCGACAUGGACGAGAUCGACUUCGAGUUCCUCGGCAACGACAAGCGCGCCGUGCAGACCAACUUGUUCGUCGCGGGGGGCGGCGGCAGGGAGAUGGUCCACCAGCUCCCCUUCGACUCCUCCGACGGCUUCCACCACUACGCCGUCGCCUGGAGCGCCGAGGCCGUGGAGUGGCGCGUCGACGGGGAGGUGAUCCGGCGGGAGGAGCGGCGCGACGGGGAGCCCUGGCCGGAGAAGCCCAUGUACCUGUACGCCUCCUUGUGGGACGCGAGCGACGUCGACGAGGGGAGGUGGACCGGCACGUACCACGGCCGCGACGCGCCCUACGUCUGCAGCUACAGAGACGUCAGGGUGCCCGCCGUUGCGCUAUCAGCGGGAGAGGAAGAAGAAUGGCAGGAUGACACGAACGCCGGAGAUGAGGCUGAUGCUGCCGCCACCACUUGUGAAGAUUAG